GAACUUGGAUGAUGAAGACGAUGAAUGAAACGCGCCAAGUUUUUAUUUAAAAUAUUCAGUUCUCUGUUCGGAUUCUGUUCUGCGCGGUGUUGCUCUAAACUAAGUAACGGAAUUCAGUUCAACCGAACUCACCCUAUUUGGACCGCCCAGAUCAGUAUCUGCUAGAGGAGCUAUUGCUUCUCGUUGGUUCCUUUCUCUGGUGGAUCCUUCGUCGUCUCUGAUGGAGUCGUUCUAACUAUUGCACGUGCUUGAGACGGAGACUUCAUUUAGAUUCGAUACAACCUAGCUAGCGAUCGAUCCUAACGACCGACACAUAUAUGGCUUGCUCAGAUCUUUUUUGUUCAGUUUGUGGCUAAAGCUAUACUACUCCUCUGACCCAAAUUAAUUGUUAUAGAUUCUUUUCAGAAUGAGGCGAACCUACACACUUAAACACGUAUAGAUUCUUUAAAAAAAAAACAAGUCUAGAUAGAUGUGUAUCUAGAAAAAGCCGUGACAAUUAAUAUAAAUCGAACUCUUUUACAAUUAUUUUUUGAAAAAAAAAAUACUUUUCCGUCUUUUAGUUUGUCGAACUAUGAAGUAGAACAUGAUAGUUACACC
Molecule: long non-coding RNA, 597 nt
Filed under: Brachypodium distachyon (stiff brome)
Lineage: Eukaryota; Viridiplantae; Streptophyta; Magnoliopsida; Poales; Poaceae
Description: long non-coding RNA (BDIS_LNC000845)
Source: RNAcentral